AAUAGCUCACUGGUCGAGUCGGCCUGCGCGGAAGAUUUAACGGGGCUAAGCUAUACACCGAAGCUGCGGCAAUGUGCUAUGCACAUUGGGUAGGGGAGCGUUCUGUAAGCCGUUGAAGGUGUGUUGUAAAGCAUGCUGGAGGUAUCAGAAGUGCGAAUGCUGACAUGAGUAACGACAAAGGGAGUGAAAAACUCCCUCGC
Molecule: ribosomal RNA, 200 nt
Filed under: Photobacterium damselae subsp. damselae
Lineage: Bacteria; Pseudomonadati; Pseudomonadota; Gammaproteobacteria; Vibrionales; Vibrionaceae
Description: partial 23S ribosomal RNA
Rfam family: Bacterial large subunit ribosomal RNA
Source: RNAcentral